UACGUAGGGGGCGAGCGUUGUCCGGAUUCACUGGGCGUAAAGGGUGCGUAGGCGGUCGGGUAAGUCUGGCGUGAAAUCUCCAAGCCUAACUUGGAAACUGCGUUGGAUACUAUCCGGCUCGAGGAAUGGAGGGGAGACUGGAAUACUUGGUGUAGCAGUGAAAUGCGUAGAUAUCAAGUGGAACACCAGUGGCGAAGGCGAGUCUCUGGACAUUUCCUGACGCUGAGGCACGAAAGCCAGGGGAGCAAACGGG
This 253-nucleotide ribosomal RNA is filed under the name uncultured bacterium. Its description in RNAcentral is "partial 16S ribosomal RNA". It matches the Rfam family "Bacterial small subunit ribosomal RNA", at positions 524 to 776 of the family's 1533-position model. The record is from RNAcentral.